AACUCCGAUUGCGAAGGCAGCGUACCGGCGCCACACUGACGCUGAGGCACGAAAGCGUGGGGAUCGAACAGGAUUAGAUACCCUGGCAGUCCACGCAGUAAACGAUGAAUGCUGGUUGUCCGGGUCGAAUGAGACCUGGGCGGCGAAGCGAAAGCGAUAAGCAUUCCACCUGGGGAGUACGCCGGCAACGGUGAAACUCAAAGGAAUUGACGGGGGCCCGCACAAGCGGAGGAACAUGUGGUUUAAUUCGAUGAUACGCGAGGAACCUUACCCGGGCUCAAACGGGAGCGGAAUGGACCAGAGACGGUUCAGCCUACGGGCCGCUUCCGAGGUGCUGCAUGGUUGUCGUCAGCUCGUGCCGUGAGGUGUCGGCUUAAGUGCCAUAACGAGCGCAACCCCCGCCGGCAGUUGCUAACGGGCAAUGCCGAGGACUCUGCCGGGACUGCCGCCGCAAGGCGAGAGGAAGGCGGGGAUGACGUCAAAUCAGCACGGCCCUUACGUCCGGGGCGACACACGUGUUACAAUGGGCGGUACAGCGGGAAGCCAGGCGGCGACGCCGAGCGGAACCCGAAAGCCGUUCUCAGUUCGGAUCGGAGUCUGCAACCCGACUCCGUGAAGCUGGAUUCGCUAGUAAUCGCGCAUCAGCCAUGGCGCGGUGAAUACGUUCCCGGGCCUUGUACACACCGCCCGUCAAGCCAUGGGAGCCGGGGGUGCUUGAAGUGCGUCGCCGCGAGGCGCGCCCUAGAGCAAAACCGGUGACUGGGGCUAAGUCGUAACAAGGUAACCGUAA
RNAcentral lists this ribosomal RNA (790 nucleotides) under uncultured bacterium. RNAcentral's name for it is "bacterial SSU rRNA". It matches the Rfam family "Bacterial small subunit ribosomal RNA", at positions 705 to 1505 of the family's 1533-position model. The record is from RNAcentral.